UUAAUAUUCAGAGUCAUCCACGGGUCUAGAAUUCUGCUCAUUCAACAACCACAAUUACUCAGGCCGAUGAUGUAAAUUGGGUCCAAACUGUAAUAUGUGGAGCCAUUAAUUGGUGCCUUUCAUGCAUGUUGUAUAUUUUAUUUGGUUCGUUGCAGACAGUUAAGCAAUUAUUUGGAAAAUUUUGGAAGAUCCUCUUGUCUUUAAUUAUUUGGAAAAUUUUGGUUCGUCGCAGACAGUUAAUGUCUGCAAUUAUUUUGCUAUUACUUCAAACCUUAAGCAAUCAAAGAUUUCCUCUGUCUUUCGGUGUGGUGCUUAAGGCCUAAAACACCACAUCGAAAGAUUCUCUUGUCUUUAAUAUCUUUAUCAUCUUAUUAAUAGCCAGGUAUUUUGAACCGAUCUCUGCCGGCUAAUUAAUUGCAUGUCGUAAUGUGAAUUUGUUCAUGUCCCUUGAGUCCAAAAGUUUCAAGAAUUUAUGCAACCGCUUUUGCUCGCCAUUUCCCUUUCCCUUUCGAGGUGCGUGCAGAUAUAUAUUUGAUCCAUUAAUUUUAACUGAGUUGUUACUUCUUUUGAUAAGAAAUUGGGGGCCUUUCUUAGUUGAGGACCUGCUAGAUCGGUGUCGAUCUGUGGUAAAGAAGUAUUUUUUCUAGCUUUUGGCUCCUCAUCUGACACACACCAAAAACAUAAUUAAAACGGGCAUUGUUUAUGGCUCGGUUUGUUUGCUUAGAAUCAUGAGUUGGAAUGGGAAAACAUUUCCCGAUCUCGCAAGAUAUAUGUUAGAUUUGGAUUGGAAGGAAUAAUUCUCUAAUAUUAUGGCAUAUUAGAAGUACAAGUGAAUGAGGUUUCAUUUGGAGAGGAUUAGAAGAGGUAAGACAUGAAAAAUACGCAUCCCUUAUAAUCCUACAAUUUUGGAGAGGAUUGUAAAAUAUAUGUUUUUUCAUGAGUAUUAAUCUGUAUUCUACCUUCUAGUUGAUCAUAAUUUUUUUUAUUUCUCACCUCAACAUGUAUACUUUGGAAUUAGAAAGUUAUCUAUUCCAAUCUAAUCCUAUACUAAACCAGUCCGUAGCCCAAGUCAAAUUCCAUUAGCAUUGAUAUUAAGAAACACAUAAAUACAUACGUCAAUUUAUAACAGAAUAUACGUUUUUUUGUGGUACCCCAUCCAAACAACAAUUAAUUGGUCCAAUUUUAUUUCUUAAGUGAAGGCAUAGAGAAACUACAGUCGCAUCCUGUAGAAAGCACACUAGUAAAAAUGUUUUAAGGGUUCCAUUGUUACUACAAUAGUUUAUGUUGGAGAAUGGAAUCGAGCAUAGACAAAAUAAUAUACUAUUCUAUUAACAAAUAGGAGUUUUCGCUUCUAAUAUAACCGAGACUGUUUGUGAUAAAACUCAAUACCUAACAAUAUGAGAUAUUGUUUAGGCCGA
This 1418-nucleotide long non-coding RNA is filed under the name Malus domestica (apple). RNAcentral's name for it is "long non-coding RNA (MDOM_LNC017286)". The record is from RNAcentral. Lineage: Eukaryota; Viridiplantae; Streptophyta; Magnoliopsida; Rosales; Rosaceae.